UAACCCCCAAAUCCGACCACUCUCCCUCCCUCAUUCACUCUCAUCUGAUUUUUGAAGACUCUCUCAAGUGUUCUCUCCAUUUGCAACCCCAAGAACACCAAAGAAACUUGGAAGCUAAGUCUUGGUCUAGGAAGGGUUUUCCCUAAGUUUGUUAGGGUUUUUGAAAGGUUUUGAAGGAGUCAAAGCUUAUAGGAAGGUCCAAACCUUAAGCAAGAACACCAAAGAGUAUUGGCUAAGCGUAACUGGACUGAACGUUGGAGGGUGAAAACUUGCUGAGCGCUAAGGACUCCAAGUAAGAGCAAGGGCAAGGCAGAGCAGUGAGCGCUGGAGUCUUCCUUGCAAAUGUACAUGUGGACCGACCUUUUGGGAAGCCUUUUUAUUUUUGGAAAUGUUGUGUAAUUUUCCUAAACUAGGCUCACUCUAAUCUUUGUAAAACAUGUUUGUAACUAAAUGUUAAGUAUGGCCAUACGACUUUUUAAAAAGUUUUUUUUUCUAUGGGUUUUUGAGACAUUUUGUUAAAUGAAAACAUUUAUAUUUCCGCAUU
Long non-coding RNA from Humulus lupulus (European hop), 544 nucleotides. RefSeq lists it as uncharacterized. The record is from RefSeq and is a predicted model, not a curated record. Lineage: Eukaryota; Viridiplantae; Streptophyta; Magnoliopsida; Rosales; Cannabaceae. The transcript has 3 exons.